GGAAUCGUUAAGUGAAAUCCCUCGAGC
Molecule: small RNA, 27 nt
Filed under: Bombyx mori (domestic silkworm)
Lineage: Eukaryota; Metazoa; Arthropoda; Insecta; Lepidoptera; Bombycidae
Description: ovarian small RNA-17225
Source: RNAcentral